This 2145-nucleotide long non-coding RNA is filed under the name Brachypodium distachyon (stiff brome). RNAcentral describes it as "long non-coding RNA (BDIS_LNC000742)". Lineage: Eukaryota; Viridiplantae; Streptophyta; Magnoliopsida; Poales; Poaceae. The record is from RNAcentral.
UAGCCAUGACUACUACUUCGUGUAAUCGCGUGUGUCGGUUAGACCACCUGUUUUACCGCUUUCGGAACCCCAAGUUAUCAUCUUGUUGAGACAUUGGUUUGAUAUAGUAUAUUCACAAUUUCAGAUUGCAUCUGCUAUUUAUCUUGUUCUUGCUUGUUCUUCGAUUGCUUGCAGGAACAAAGACCUUCGUGGUCAGGUUGAUCGUGCCCCCACGUGAUCAAUAACCCUCUGGAGUUAGUGUAUCGAUUGCUAAGGCGCUGCUUUCUAGGCCGUAGUCGGAUCGUCAACGUCACCUCCUAUCCAAAUUGAGAUUUAUCAAUCUCAUCGAAAGAUCGGGCCACCCCGACCCAUAUCACGUGGUAUCAGAGCUUAAGGUUGCUCGGUGAGAUUUUUCCAAUUUAUUCCUAGUUUAGAUCUGUUUUUACCUAUCGUCCAGAAAAAUUCAAAUUAGUUACCUUGUCCUAGAACCAAUCUGAGCCUUGCAAUUUUCACAUUAGUAUUUGCAUUGUUGAAUCUUUGCUGCAUUAAUCGUGUCGAGUUGCUGGAUUAGAUUGGAUCGUUUUUCAUAUUUUUUCUACUAGAUCGAACUUGCUUUUGGUUUUCUUGUUGUUCGUGUGACGCAGGUUUCCUUCAUCAAUCUUCCGCCGCCAAACUCCCUGCCACACCACCACCACGCCAUAAUCUUCCGCUACCACCAUAUCUUCCAUCGAGUCCUACACCGAGUCCUUCUCCGAGUUCGUGUCCGAGUCCAAUCGAGAGUGCUUUUGGAAAGUGUUUCAUAAUAGAUUGAUUUUUGUUUAGAGAUCAAGUUGUUCGGAAAGUUUUUAAAAAAAAGAAAGGAAAGAAAGAAAGAUAAAAAACGAAAAAAAAGAGAGAGAAAGAAUCAGUUUCGGAUCCACGUUGAGAGAAUUUUAGUUUCGGGUGGGUUUGACCCGUGUUCAGUAAAACGGGCGUAUCUUCUGCAUACCAACUCGGAUUUGGACGUUCUUGGACCUUUUGGAAAGCUCAUGACGAGGCGCAUCAGGAAAUAUCUAGAGCUUGGGCCUGCACGUUCACCCUCAAAUUCGGCUUCUAAGGUGGACUUUCCGAGUUUCCAAGUUGCUGCAUCCGUUUUCCGACGUCGCUGCAGCCCGGUGUUUUUCAGUUUUCUCCACCGUCCGACAUCCGUUUUGAUUGAAUUUGCCCUUUCUGGAAAGCUUGUGUCGAUACGCUUCUAACCCAUAUUUUUCCAUAUUUUUCUGAAUUUUUCUUACUGCAGCCUUUGCUGUUCUUCGACAGACCGACGUACAGUUUUCCGAUCCUUCUUUUGCGUGAGUUUCUGGGGUUAAAAAAAAAACAAGAAGAAGAAAAGAAUAAGAAGCCAAACAGAAGGCCACAAAAAGAAAAAAAAAGAAAAAAAAAUCUCAGGGAUUUACUUGUUGUGCCAUGUUUCUAUCCUACCUUCUUCAGUAUCUAGGCUUAGAUUAUUUCUGUAAUUCGUUCUUAUCGACUCCAGCAGUUAGGACUAGCAUUAUUAAGCAUAUUUUCAAAUUUGCAUUGCUGAUUUGAUUUUUUCCUAUUUCUUGCUACUCACAAAAGCCUCCAAGCUCCACAGAUUCUACACCUAGGUUAGUUUGUUACCGAGGCAUCGAUACAUUCAAUCUUCGGAGGGCUUGGUUACGCCGCUGGCCAUCACCUUCCUGUUUUGCACGGUAAGAACUCGUAAGAACUUGAUUUUUAGCUUGAGAGUUGAGCGACUUGUAGCCACAUCCUAGUUGGUUAGACCACCUGUUUUGCCGCUUUCGGAAACCCAACUUAUCAUCUCGUUGAGACAUGGGUUUGAUAUAGUAUAUUCGCAAUUUCAGAUUGCAUCCGCUAUUUAUCUUGUUCUUGCUUGUUCUUUGAUUGCUUGAAGGAACAAAGACCUUCGUGGUCAGGUUGAUCGUGCCCCCGCGUGAUCAAUAACCCUCUGGAGUUGGUGUAUCGAUUGCUAAGGCGCUGCCUUCUAGGCUGUGGUCGGAUCAUCAACGUCACCUCCUACCCAAAUCAAGAGUUCUCAACCUCAUCGAAAGAUCGGGCCACCCCGACCCAUAUCAAGGUGUCUCCAAGGCGGGGGCUGCUGCAGAGGCGCGAUGGCGGUGCAUGCCAUCCGUGCUGAGCGCCGAU